UUACGCCAGCAUCCUAGCCGAAGCGCGGACCUCAGUCCCGGCUGGCCGUAUUACACCCUGGGCUAUAACACCUCCACCGAAGUGGAGGCCACAUUCCCAGAGCCUUUAUCCGGCCGCCGAAACUGAUGCUGGCCUGUCCAAACUGAGUAAACCGGUCAGAAGACCGGCCGAACAGUUUAAACAAGUCUGAUUGCAAGCGCUUCCCUUUCAACAAUUUCACGUGCUUUUUAACUCUCUUUCCAAAGUGCUUUUCAUCUUUCGAUCACUCUACUUGUGCGCUAUCGGUCUCUCGCCAAUAUUUAGCUUUAGAAGAAAUUUACCUCCCAUUUAGAGCUGCAUUCCCAAACAACUCGACUCGUCGAAGGAGAUUUACAUAGGGUGCCAUUUCCUGUCACAUACGGGAUUCUCACCCUCUAUGACGUCCUGUUCCAAGGAACUUAGACAGGCGGCUUCCCCAAAUCAUCCUCUACAAAUUACAAUGCGAACCCGAAGGCUAGCUUUCAAAUUUGAGCUGUUGCCGCUUCACUCGCCGUUACUAGGGCA
Molecule: ribosomal RNA, 543 nt
Filed under: Aureobasidium proteae
Lineage: Eukaryota; Fungi; Ascomycota; Dothideomycetes; Dothideales; Saccotheciaceae
Description: partial 26S ribosomal RNA
Source: RNAcentral